Molecule: ribosomal RNA, 301 nt
Filed under: uncultured bacterium
Lineage: Bacteria
Description: partial 16S ribosomal RNA
Rfam family: Bacterial small subunit ribosomal RNA
Source: RNAcentral
CAGCCGCCACGGUAAUACGAAGGGUGCAAGCGUUAAUCGGAAUUACUGGGCGUAAAGCGCACGUAGGCGGAUCGAUCAGUCAGGGGUGAAAUCCCAGAGCUCAACUCUGGAACUGCCUUUGAUACUGUCGAUCUGGAGUAUGGAAGAGGUGAGUGGAAUUCCGAGUGUAGAGGUGAAAUUCGUAGAUAUUCGGAGGAACACCAGUGGCGAAGGCGGCUCACUGGUCCAUUACUGACGCUGAGGUGCGAAAGCGUGGGGAGCAAACAGGAUUAGAUACCCGCGUAGUCCCUGUCUCUUAUAC